This is a long non-coding RNA of Protopterus annectens (West African lungfish), 410 nucleotides long. RefSeq lists it as uncharacterized. NCBI's taxonomy places the organism in Eukaryota, Metazoa, Chordata, Ceratodontiformes, Protopteridae. The record is from RefSeq and is a predicted model, not a curated record. The transcript is spliced from 3 exons.
CAGUGGCACAGAUGAUUUUCUUUUUGCAUAUGCUUAGCCAUUCAGCUUCUUCCGGCUAAGGUCAUGACACCUAAUACCAACUGGGAAUGUCAGCUUUACUGAGUGACUACUGGAUGAGCAUUAUCUGCAGUUUCAGAUUCUGCUACUAUAUGUGGAACAGACAGGAUAUAGAUUGACAGGUCUUCCUAGGAUUAGCUCUUCAGUUUUGCAUCAAUCGACAAAGAGAAGAUGAGAGGUCUUUACACGCUGUUGCUUUCUACGAUCCAAAUUAUAGGGCAAAACAGAGUAGCAGCAGUAACAGAGUCACUCUGGAGUAUUCCCCAUUGAAGUUUUUCCCUGAAAUAAUAAUUUGUCCUUCAUCAUGGCUUAAUUGCAAAGUGCUCUACCACUGUUUCAUGGUCACUGUCAUG